UGGGGAAUAUUGGACAAUGGGGGCAACCCUGAUCCAGCAAUGCCGCGUGUGUGAAGAAGGCCUUCGGGUUGUAAAGCACUUUAGUUGGGGAAGAAGGUUAGCAGUUUAAGAGAUGGCUAACUUGACGGUACCCAAAGAAUAAGCACCGGCUAACUCUGUGCCAGCAGCCGCGGUAAUACAGAGGGUGCAAGCGUUAAUCGGAAUUACUGGGCGUAAAGGGCGUGUAGGUGGUUGGAUAAGUUGGUUGUGAAAUCCCUGGGCUUAACCUAGGAAUGGCAAUCAAUACUGUUUAACUAGAGUACGGUAGAGGGUAGUGGAAUUUCCGGUGUAGCGGUGAAAUGCGUAGAGAUCGGAAGGAACACCAGUGGCGAAGGCGGCUACCUGGACUGAUACUGACACUGAGGCGCGAGAGCGUGGGGAGCAAACAGG
This 429-nucleotide ribosomal RNA is filed under the name uncultured bacterium. RNAcentral describes it as "bacterial SSU rRNA". It matches the Rfam family "Bacterial small subunit ribosomal RNA", at positions 355 to 776 of the family's 1533-position model. The record is from RNAcentral.